This 1447-nucleotide ribosomal RNA is filed under the name Sethenira testacea. Its description in RNAcentral is "partial large subunit ribosomal RNA". It matches the Rfam family "Eukaryotic large subunit ribosomal RNA", at positions 1 to 1141 of the family's 3401-position model. The record is from RNAcentral. Lineage: Eukaryota; Metazoa; Arthropoda; Insecta; Hemiptera; Coreidae.
UCGACCUCAGAUCAGGUGGGACUCCCCGCCGAAUUUAAGCAUAUUAGUAAGCGGAGGAAAAGAAACUAACGAGGAUUCCCAGAGUAGCUGCGAGCGAAAAGGGAAGAGCCCAUCGCCGAAUCCCAAGGGCCACGCCCUUAGGGAGCUGUGGCGUUUUGGAGAGUCCGAUUAACCCGGGGUCCGUGCAGCGAGUUCAAGUCCAUCUUGAACGGGGCCACGGUCCGUAGAGGGUGCCAGGCCCGUAGAUAACCGGUGCCGGCUCCGGGUGGACUCCUCCUUAGAGUCGGGCUGCUUGAGAGUGCAGCCCUAAGUGGGUGGUAAACUCCAUCUAAGGCUAAAUACAACCACGAGACCGAUAGAGAACAAGUACCGUGAGGGAAAGUUGAAAAGAACUUUGAAGAGAGAGUUCAAGAGUACGUGAAACCGCUCAGGGGUAAACGGAAAAGACCCGAAACACCGAAACGAGAGAUUCACGUCUUCUCGCAGGAGCAGGUCUCCGUUUGGGGGAUGGCCUAACGCCCCGUCCGGCUCGUCCGUGGCGGUGGGUAGGCUGCCCCCUGCGGGGAUCCCUGCUUCUCGGGGGCCCGCAAUUCUCUCGCAGUAGGACGUCGCGACCCGCUCUGCGGCGGUCUAACGGCCGGUAGAAUGCCUGGUCGGGGCCCAUCUCUCGGGGUGGGUUCCCGCUCAGCUCUCCGGACCCGCGGCCGUCGGUCCGGGCGGUAUGAAACGACUUUAGCGCUGGGCCGCUCCUAGAGAGCGCCUAGCCUCCUCGCAAGCUCGGGUUGGAUCGUCGGGUCGUGCUCUCACGGGUACGCUCGGCGUCCUCCCGGACUGUUGGCGGGUGACGGCUCAGGCUGUUCGUCCAGCACGCUUGUCGGCGGCGCUUCAGAUUCGGGCACUUAUCCGACCCGUCUUGAAACACGGACCAAGGAGUCUAGCGUGUGCGCGAGUCAUUGGGUGUAAAACCUAAAGGCGCAAUGAAAGUGUCAGAGGGCGCUUGCGCUCUCGGUGGGAGGAUGGGCUCCCGGAUGUCACUCCGGUGCCCCGCACUCCCGGGGCGUUUCAUUCUCAAUUUACGAGUCGAGACGCACCAGGAGCGCACACGCUGGUACCCGAAAGAUGGUGAACUAUGCCUGGCCAGGACGAAGCCAGGGGAAACCCUGGUGGAGGUCCGAAGCGAUUCUGACGUGCAAAUCGAUCGUCUGAGCUGGGUAUAGGGGCGAAAGACCAAUCGAACCAUCUAGUAGCUGGUUCCCUCCGAAGUUUCCCUCAGGAUAGCUGGCUCUCGGGAAGAGACGAGUCUCAUCCGGUAGAGCGAAUGAUUAGAGGUGAUGGGGUCGAAACGACUUCAACCUAUUCUCAAACUCCCAAUAGAUGAGAGCCCCGGCUUGCUUGAAAGUGAAGCCGCGGGACUCGGAUCAGAGGUGCCAAGUGGGCCAAUUUUGGU